UGGUGUGGUUUCUGGACUUCUUAAAUGCAGU
Molecule: non-coding RNA, 31 nt
Filed under: Rattus norvegicus (Norway rat)
Lineage: Eukaryota; Metazoa; Chordata; Mammalia; Rodentia; Muridae
Source: RNAcentral